GAUGAACGCUGGCGGCGUGCCUAAUACAUGCAAGUCGAGCGAACGGACGAGAAGCUUGCUUCUCUGAUGUUAGCGGCGGACGGGUGAGUAACACGUGGAUAACCUACCUAUAAGACUGGGAUAACUUCGGGAAACCGGAGCUAAUACCGGAUAAUAUUUUGAACCGCAUGGUUCAAAAGUGAAAGACGGUCUUGCUGUCACUUAUAGAUGGAUCCGCGCUGCAUUAGCUAGUUGGUAAGGUAACGGCUUACCAAGGCAACGAUGCAUAGCCGACCUGAGAGGGUGAUCGGCCACACUGGAACUGAGACACGGUCCAGACUCCUACGGGAGGCAGCAGUAGGGAAUCUUCCGCAAUGGGCGAAAGCCUGACGGAGCGACGCCGCGUGAGUGAUGAAGGUCUUCGGAUCGUAAAACUCUGUUAUUAGGGAAGAACAUAUGUGUAAGUAACUGUGCACAUCUUGACGGUACCUAAUCAGAAAGCCACGGCUAACUACGUGCCAGCAGCCGCGGUAAUACGUAGGUGGCAAGCGUUAUCCGGAAUUAUUGGGCGUAAAGCGCGCGUAGCGGUUUUUUAAGUCUGAUGUGAAAGCCCACGGCUCAACCGUGGAGGGUCAUUGGAAACUGGAAAACUUGAGUGCAGAAGAGGAAAGUGGAAUUCCAUGUGUAGCGGUGAAAUGCGCAGAGAUAUGGAGGAACACCAGUGGCGAAGGCGACUUUCUGGUCUGUAACUGACGCUGAUGUGCGAAAGCGUGGGGAUCAAACAGGAUUAGAUACCCUGGUAGUCCACGCCGUAAACGAUGAGUGCUAAGUGUUAGGGGGUUUCCGCCCCUUAGUGCUGCAGCUAACGCAUUAAGCACUCCGCCUGGGGAGUACGACCGCAAGGUUGAAACUCAAAGGAAUUGACGGGGACCCGCACAAGCGGUGGAGCAUGUGGUUUAAUUCGAAGCAACGCGAAGAACCUUACCAAAUCUUGACAUCCUUUGACAACUCUAGAGAUAGAGCCUUCCCCUUCGGGGGACAAAGUGACAGGUGGUGCAUGGUUGUCGUCAGCUCGUGUCGUGAGAUGUUGGGUUAAGUCCCGCAACGAGCGCAACCCUUAAGCUUAGUUGCCAUCAUUAAGUUGGGCACUCUAAGUUGACUGCCGGUGACAAACCGGAGGAAGGUGGGGAUGACGUCAAAUCAUCAUGCCCCUUAUGAUUUGGGCUACACACGUGCUACAAUGGACAAUACAAAGGGCAGCGAAACCGCGAGGUCAAGCAAAUCCCAUAAAGUUGUUCUCAGUUCGGAUUGUAGUCUGCAACUCGACUACAUGAAGCUGGAAUCGCUAGUAAUCGUAGAUCAGCAUGCUACGGUGAAUACGUUCCCGGGUCU
Molecule: ribosomal RNA, 1371 nt
Filed under: uncultured bacterium
Lineage: Bacteria
Description: bacterial SSU rRNA
Rfam family: Bacterial small subunit ribosomal RNA
Source: RNAcentral